GAAGGAUCAUUAUUGAAUUUUAAUGAAGAGU
This 31-nucleotide ribosomal RNA is filed under the name Thanatephorus cucumeris. RNAcentral's name for it is "partial 18S ribosomal RNA". Lineage: Eukaryota; Fungi; Basidiomycota; Agaricomycetes; Cantharellales; Ceratobasidiaceae. The record is from RNAcentral.